This 492-nucleotide ribosomal RNA is filed under the name uncultured bacterium. RNAcentral describes it as "partial 16S ribosomal RNA". It matches the Rfam family "Bacterial small subunit ribosomal RNA", at positions 29 to 507 of the family's 1533-position model. The record is from RNAcentral.
AGUGAACGCUGGCGGUAGGCCUAACACAUGCAAGUCGAACGGCAGCACAGUAAGAGCUUGCUCUUACGGGUGGCGAGUGGCGGACGGGUGAGGAAUACAUCGGAAUCUACUUUUUCGUGGGGGAUAACGUAGGGAAACUUACGCUAAUACCGCAUACGACCUACGGGUGAAAGCAGGGGAUCUUCGGACCUUGCGCGAUUGAAUGAGCCGAUGUCGGAUUAGCUAGUUGGCGGGGUAAAGGCCCACCAAGGCGACGAUCCGUAGCUGGUCUGAGAGGAUGAUCAGCCACACUGGAACUGAGACACGGUCCAGACUCCUACGAGAGGCAGCAGUGGGGAAUAUUGGACAAAGGGCGCAAGCCUGAUCCAGCCAUACCGCGUGGGUGAAGAAGGCCUUCGGGUUGUAAAGCCCUUUUGUUGGGAAAGAAAAGCAGCAGGUUAAUACCCCGCUGUUCUGACGGUACCCAAAGAAUAAGCACCGGCUAACUUCGUG